CAAUUUUGACUCCUUCAACCCUCUGUACCUGAUGGGCUGAGUCCAACUCCCCUCUCUCCGUGCCCCACAAAUUACAGGAAGUCCUAGAGGCUGAGCCACAUCGCCAGAUGCUCCUUCCUGGACGCUCACCUGACUCAUCCAAACAAAGAUCCAGGACUGGGAUGGGGGCAACAGAACAGCAGCUUCCUUGAGAAUAUUUCACAACUAAAUCACUGACGCAUGCAACCUUAUAUUCAAACAACUUUGCAGCUGAGCGCUCUGUGGAGAGAGAAGAGAAUUCCUGUGGCAUCCCCUUUGAAGUCAGUCUGAUUAAAAGAUUUUGCUCACUGAAACCAGCAUGAUCUGGAAAAGAGAGAUCCAGGAAAAGCACAAGGGUCCAAGUCAAGAGAGAAAAGAAGAGUCAGAGGCCUGUAAGGAGCCCAACAGAAUGGUGGAGAAGCCCAAGAGGCAGGUAAGAAGUGAGAUGAAACGCGGGGGCUGGGUCGGGGGGAGAAGGAGA
This 499-nucleotide long non-coding RNA is filed under the name Gopherus agassizii (Agassiz's desert tortoise). Its description in RNAcentral is "lncRNA (ENSGAGG00000024907.1)". The record is from RNAcentral. Lineage: Eukaryota; Metazoa; Chordata; Testudines; Testudinidae.